This is a long non-coding RNA of Otolemur garnettii (small-eared galago), 936 nucleotides long. RefSeq lists it as uncharacterized. Lineage: Eukaryota; Metazoa; Chordata; Mammalia; Primates; Galagidae. The transcript is spliced from 3 exons. The record is from RefSeq and is a predicted model, not a curated record.
GAGCCCUUGUUAGUCGUGGGCCGUGGAUCUAGUGGCUCGUGUCUAAGCCGGAGCCAGUGGCCCAGGCGGACACCCCCGGCCCACCCCCGACUGCCGCGUGGUCUUAAGAGAAUCGGGCUUCAAUGCUGACUGUUGAAAGCUCGUCCGUAGGAGACGCGCGGCCAGGCAUGAGGCCAGACAUGAGUCGCUGCGGGUGCAGGGCCCGACUCGGGGUGAGGAGGCCGCUUACCGCCGCGACGCGGGCGGUGGCGCUUGCGGGUCCUGCACUCCGGGAACCAGUGAGGGUGGCCAAGCAACGCUGGGCCUUCGCGGACAUGGCGAGCGUCUUCCUCGGUCGUCAGUUUACUUCGGGGCGCUGACGAAGGGGGCCAGGCAGGAAAAGCCCUAAGCCGUGGCGCCGCGCAAAUCACGCGGGACGGAGAGGUGACGGCGGUUACGGUCAGUGUCUGGGCUGAGCGCACUUGCUCAGUGCUGUACAGGAAUAGAGACUCACGUGUCAUUUUAAUUUUUGUAAUUUGAUGAGUGAGAAAGUUCCAGAAACGUGGGAGAAUAGUUAAUGGAAAGAUCCGACUCUCCUACCGCGGACGUGUCGCACGAGCACGUCCAAUUCGCGCGUGGACUGAGUGGACGACUUGUCUCCUGGCGUUCUGGACGCUGGAUAAUGCAGCUGCGGGUCGGAGGUGUAGGUGGCGCGGCUUCUGACGUGAAUUGCCUGUUGAGGGUCGCUGUCUGCCAAUUCAAAGACGACGGCUUUCUGUGAAAUUCCUACAUUGCAGCAAUUUCUGACCAGUACGGUGAAGUUUGCUGGUCUCUUAUGUGAAAAGCUGGUGAUAACAAAGACAUCCAGAAAAAGCUCUUCAUUUUCCCAACAUGAAAGGAAAUUUUGAUCAUAUUGAUUUUUCUUUUGUCAAUAAAUCAUGUAAUGUUUAUGGAAAA